This 215-nucleotide long non-coding RNA is filed under the name Lathyrus oleraceus (garden pea). RNAcentral's name for it is "Pisum sativum (pea) long non-coding RNA (PSAT_LNC000876)". Lineage: Eukaryota; Viridiplantae; Streptophyta; Magnoliopsida; Fabales; Fabaceae. The record is from RNAcentral.
AAUUGCAAUAAUAUAAAUAUUAGGAGGUAGUAAUUAGUAGUUAGUAACAAUAAGCAAAUGUAUUAACAACUUAAUGUAAAGACAUGGUUUCAUCUAUGCAUCAAAUGACCCAAAUAUGAUUAAAAUAGAGGUAAUCUAUCAAUGCCUCAAAGUAUCAUGAAUGAUCUAUUGAUCAACCAUAGAUAGGUUUGAAAUAUUGAAGAUUUAAUCAACUC